This is an RNA transcript of Oncorhynchus gorbuscha (pink salmon), 3693 nucleotides long. It is a transcript of the gene named alpha-1,3-mannosyl-glycoprotein 2-beta-N-acetylglucosaminyltransferase-like, with no coding region annotated. Lineage: Eukaryota; Metazoa; Chordata; Actinopteri; Salmoniformes; Salmonidae. The record is from RefSeq and is a predicted model, not a curated record. The transcript is spliced from 3 exons.
AGGUAAUUAAGGUAAGGAAAAGGGUUAGGGUUAUGUACAAUUAAAAACAAUAAGACACUUUUACCGUUCACUUGACAAAAGCUGGAUCCCUUCUAGCCGUGACCAGGGGGCGUGGCCUUGCUUAACGAGUCAAUCCGGAAGUAGUAUGGAGCGUGUAAAAUUCGGUGGUGUCAAAUGAAAAAUACCGUCAAGAGCCAGUGAAACACACAUACUGGCUUGGACGGAUUGGUAGGAGAACAGUGGUGAAAAGGACGAUGCAUAUCGCAAGACUCGGUGAAUUCCUAUGUUGAUAAAAUAAAUCAAUUGAACACAUCUAGCUAAAUGUCGAAUCCAAGAAAGAGGGGAGGAAAUGUGGACUGGACAUGCAGUGAGGCACUGACACCGGUGGGCAAAACGGAGAGGAAUUAAAGUGAGAGGAGUGAAGCCGAUCAACUGAAACCAUUCUUCGACAUCCAAACUGGCUUUCCAGAUAGCAAGCAACACGUCCUACCGGGGCAAAUUACAAAAGGAUGAUGGCUGAGGGAUAACGGCAAGGACUGUCAGCCCCUCCACCCCAACGUGACCCUGGUUAUCUUAUUCAAACACCCCUUUUCCCCUUGUUUUUCUCAAUUUCCUCUUGCCCCAACUCACUCUCCUGUCCCAGUGUUUCAUGGAGGAGAACCAAACCGAUACAACAACACACUGGGUUAAUACUCACGUCUCUGAAAUAGAGGUUCUGGAUCAUUCUCCUGUCAUGUUAUCGAUCAGACUCAAUGAUUGGAUGAGCAGUAAGGAUCACGUGAUCAGACCACUGUUCUCUCCACCUCUAUUGGACGUCUUCUCUUUCUCAUCUUUGUGAUCGAUUUGGACCCUAUUGGCUGUUGUCAUUUCAACUCUGUCCCCCCCCUCCGCUGUUUUCUUUUCCUCACUGCAGUCUAUCCUCUGAUGUCAUUGGGCCAUGGUUCGCAAGAGAGGUUCCCUUAUCUUGUGUGGAGCUUUCCUAUUCGUCGCCUGCAAUGGCUUGCUUCUACUUUUCCUUUGGGGACGGCCUCCCAUUGGUAGACUUGGGGAGGGGGGAGGGGCUGAGCCGGGGGGAAGGGAAGAGUGGGGAGUGGCCAAAAGAAAAGGGGGGUGGGACUAAUCUGGCUGGUGAGGUGAUCCGAUUGGCCGAGGAGGUAGAAUCGGAACUCGAGACCCAGAAGGAACUUCUGAAGCAGAUUCAGAGUCACAGGUCACUAUGGGAACAGAGGAGAGGGAAGGGAAGAAGACGGAUGGAUGGAGGGAAGGUAGAAAAUAAAGAGGAACACAAACCGCCGCCACAGUUGCCUCCAGUACCUCCGAAGGACGAUUCAGAGAACAAGGACCCAAGUCAAGAAAAAACUAAACAGGAAUUUAUUGUUGCAGCAGUCCCAGACCUUAAAGUAGACACACAACCGGACAAUGACAUAAAAGAACUGAACUACACCAAAUUGGAAGUAACUGUCACCAGCCCACAAGUUGUCAUUCCCAUAUUGGUUAUUGCCUGUGACAGGGUGACCGUGAAAAGGAGUCUUGACAAAUUGAUCCAAUACCGCCCCUCUGCAGAACUCUAUCCAAUCAUAGUUAGCCAGGACUGCGGCCAUGCUGAGACGGCCCGUGUGAUUGGCUCGUAUGGCAGUCAGGUGACUCACAUUAGCCAACCAGACCACUCGGACAUCCGGGUACGGCCGGAGCACAGGAAGUUCCAGGGUUACUAUAAGAUUGCCAGACACUACCGCUGGGCCCUCAACCAGGUGUUCGACACACUCUCUCACUCCACCGUGGUGAUCGUGGAAGAUGACUUGGAGGUGGCCCCAGACUUCUUUGAGUACUUCCGUGCCCUGCACCCCAUCUUGACCUCUGACCCCACCCUGUGGUGUGUGUCUGCCUGGAACGACAACGGCAGAGAUGGCCUGGUGGACCCUGGGAAGGCUGACCUCCUCUACAGGACAGACUUCUUCCCGGGGCUGGGCUGGAUGCUGCUGAAGGACGUCUGGGCAGAACUAGAACCCAAGUGGCCCACGGCCUUCUGGGACGACUGGAUGCGUCACCCCGAGCAACGUAAAGAGCGCUCCUGCAUCCGCCCGGAGAUCUCCAGAACUAUGACCUUCGGACGCAAGGGUGUCAGCUUGGGUCAGUUCUUUGACCAGUAUCUGCGUUAUAUUAAACUCAACACUGACUUUGUGCCUUUCACCAAACAUGAUCUGUCUUACUUGAUGAAGGAGAACUUUGACGUGAACUUUGUGAAGGAGGUUUACAGCGCCCCCCUAGUUAAAAUAGAAGAGCUACAACAAGGGGGAGGUUUGAAGGAAAUGGGUCCAUACCGGGUACAAUAUUCCAGCCGGGAGAGUUUUAAAGUCAUGGCUCGUAACUUAGGGGUUAUGGAUGACUUGAAAUCGGGGGUUCCCCGUGCAGGGUACAGAGGCGUGGUCAGCUUCCUGUCCCGUGGACGACGGGUCUUCUUGACCCCACCUGAAGGAUGGACAAAGUACGACGUCAGCUGGAGCUGAGAGGUUCGGACAGAACCCGUCAGCUGGAGCUGAGAGGUUCGGACAGAACGUAGUGUGAAUGGUAUCGAAGACCGACUUGAGAAACGCCCUCUCAAACCAAAGAAAACAAGGUCACAUGAAGAAACGGGAGCUAAACCAAACAGACAGGCUUGGUGGGUGAAGGGAUUUGACAUGUGGUAGAAGUAGUUUGGGUAAUGGACAGGAGGAGUAAGGCACUCCUUGUUUUAUGAGUGAAACUGAAUGCAGUGUAACACAGGGCACAGCCCAGGGAGUGAAACCACAGUCUUUCGCAGAAAGUAAGAAAUCAUUUAGUGCUUGGUUGUUCUCCUGCUAGAGCUUAUCUAGGAAAGGUUUUACUGUUUGCUUCAACCCAAUGUCUUAAACUGACUCUAAAGUUCUGGACAAGCACAAGUUUGAUUACAUUGAUUGAUUGGGAGGGCUCAGAUGAGCUUUUUGUCUUGUUCCCUGUGUCACCAGGUCUUGUAAAGGAGAGGCCAAACCCCUCUCUGGUCACAUCCCAAAUCGCACCCUUUUCCCUAUUUAGUGCACUACUGUUGACCAGGGCCCAUAGGGAUUAGGGUGCAAUUUGGUACAGCCUAUGUCUACAUUCUACUUUAAAAGAACUUGCAGUAUUCUACUCACUCAAAGUGAAUGAGGUCAAAAUAUUAGCUAGACUGGUAUUAAUUGAAUAUUAUAAAUAUGAUUGUCAAAUUUGGUUUAUUCAUUUAAAUGUUUUUUUGGGGGCGGGAAAGGCUAUUUUUGGGAAAUGUUAUUUAGCGAUCUUGUAAAUGGUUUAUAAAGAGAUUCUUCAGAUGGUCAGAGGUUCAUACAUUGCCACAUGCAGCGCACCAAUUUAACACAUCGUAUGUGACAUUCUGUUGAUGUUGGGUUUAUCCCAAACGGUACCUCGUUCCCUAGAAAGGGAAGAGGGACGCAGAUGCUGACUAUAUACUCGAGUCCUUUCCAAACGGUGGUAUUCUACAGUAAGGUUUGUUGAAAAACCAAUGAUUAUGAUUGUUUUACUUUUUUCUUUCUUUUUUCUCUUCAUUUACAUGAUGGGUGAUACAUUUAUGUACUGUAUUUAGUUCUGGGGUGAUCGAUUCAUAUGUCCUUAUGGUGGAACAAAACAAAAACACUGCCUGAUGUGUUAACUUUAAUACGUUGCAAAUAAAACUGACUAUUUUGA